Molecule: long non-coding RNA, 1487 nt
Filed under: Homo sapiens (human)
Lineage: Eukaryota; Metazoa; Chordata; Mammalia; Primates; Hominidae
Description: small nucleolar RNA host gene 1
Rfam family: Small nucleolar RNA SNORD25 (bases 236-304)
Source: RNAcentral
GUGGUAAGUGGCUUCGUGGUCUUUAUAGCUGUUACUCUUUUGUACUUUGUCUUUUUCUUUUAUUUUCUUUUGAGCGAUUGUGCGAACAUAGCAUAGCACGCACUAUGCCUUCUGUGUUGUAGCUGCCUGGCCAGGGCGACUGGCGGAUAAGGUCUUGUGCGUGGCCUCGAGGCUUAAAAGUAGCAGUGGGGCUUUGUGAAGGACAAAAUGGCGAUGGCGGGCCGUGUAGGUCCCCCUUCCUAUGAUGAGGACCUUUUCACAGACCUGUACUGAGCUCCGUGAGGAUAAAUAACUCUGAGGAGAUGGGCCCUGCAAGCCUCUUGCUUAGCCGUCUGUUCAGAAAAUAGCGUUUUCGAAAUGCCCUGAGUUGACCUAAUGUCUUAUUGGGCUCCUGUCUGCAGGAUUUACGCGCACGUUGGAACCGAAGAGAGCUCUGUUGUUGCACCCACAAGAGCUUACUGGUGAAGGAAUGGGACAAGACCCAUCUUUAUGCAAAGCCAGCGUUACAGUAAUGUUCCAGCAUCUCAUAAUCUAUCCUGGGGAAUUCAGCUGCCUCCCAGGGUGAAUACAGGUAUUCCUGAUGACAGUCUGCCUCUAUCUUACAGAGCAGCUUGUUGCUAUAUACCAUUGAAAAGCCUUCAGAGCUGAGAGGUACUACUAACCAAUAACCUGCUUGGCUCAAAGGGCCAGCACCUUCUCUCUAAAGCCCAAGAGGAGUUUGAGGAAAACUAGGUGUCUGUGUUCACUCCAGGCUGAAGUUACAGGUCUGAGCAAAUAAGGUGUAUAAAAAAUGGAAUCUGUCUUGGAGGACAUCAGAAGGUGAAUUUUCCAAGUUCUUGGACAACCUAGCUGUUGAAAAGCUUUCUGGGUUUGGGGGGUAUUUCAGAUGUACCUUAAAGUGUUAGCAGACACAGAUUAAGACACUGGGAGCCAAUGAAACAGCAGUUGAGGGUUUGCUGUGUAUCACAUUUCUGUAUUUUAUCACCCCCUUCCUGCAACAUUAUUUAUCUGGAAUCUACCUGCCCUUUUGUUUUUUAGAUACAAGGGCUUGGUUUUGUUACCCAGGCUGGUUUCAAGGCCAUAGCUUUAAGAGAUCCUCUCACCACAGAUUUCCAAAGUGCUGGGAUUGCAGGUGUGAUUCAUGGCACCCAGACUUUGCUGCCUUUCUUACAUGAUCCAGGCCCAGAACCCAAACUCAGGCACUGUAUAGAUGACCACUUUCGUAAACUACUGACCUAGCUUGUUGCCAAUUGUUGAUUGAACUUCCCAUAACUCCACUUCGUGUCUGUUCCUCUGUAUACAGCCACCUUCUGUUCCCGUCAUGAGCCUUUAGGUCUCCAUUUGCAUAUUGCAAAUACUAUGUUCCAUGUAGGUAGCUCAUUCAGGGCCUUGCUCUUCACUUCAAAAAAGGUUCCCUUGAGGACUGGCUGUCAAUUUGUGUUGCUGUGUUGGUUGUUGAUGAAAAUAAUAAAAUGAUUGAUUACAUA